CCCAGCUGUAGGCAAUUGCCUAGGUUGCUUUGUACCUAGGCAAGUGUUAAGCUGCUGGGAGAAAAGCAGCCAAGAGCUGGCAGGCAUUCUGGGCCUGGUGAAUGCCAAAUUU
Ochotona princeps (American pika) is the source of this 112-nucleotide small nucleolar RNA. Its record names the gene SNORA74. It matches the Rfam family "Small nucleolar RNA SNORA74". Rfam says of the family: U19 belongs to the H/ACA class of snoRNAs. snoRNAs bind a number of proteins (including dyskerin, Gar1p and Nop10p in the case of the H/ACA class) to form snoRNP complexes. This class are thought to guide the sites of modification of uridines to pseudouridines by forming direct base pairing interactions with substrate RNAs. NCBI's taxonomy places the organism in Eukaryota, Metazoa, Chordata, Mammalia, Lagomorpha, Ochotonidae. The record is from Ensembl.